UGGCCCUUGGAACAGGUCCGUCGGGCCUGGGGUUAAAAAAUAAUAAAACAAUGCAACUUGUUGAGGUGCUAAAUUUAUUCGGGAACAUGGAUUUUAUAGUGGAGGAAUGGCCCUUG
Molecule: ribosomal RNA, 116 nt
Filed under: Acropora sp. G56795
Lineage: Eukaryota; Metazoa; Cnidaria; Anthozoa; Scleractinia; Acroporidae
Also listed under: 1 other name
Description: partial small subunit ribosomal RNA
Source: RNAcentral